Molecule: ribosomal RNA, 484 nt
Filed under: uncultured bacterium
Lineage: Bacteria
Description: partial 16S ribosomal RNA
Rfam family: Bacterial small subunit ribosomal RNA
Source: RNAcentral
AUUGAACGCUGGCGGCAGGCCUAACACAUGCAAGUCGAGCGGAUGAAGGGAGCUUGCUCCUGGAUUCAGCGGCGGACGGGUGAGUAAUGCCUAGGAAUCUGCCUGGUAGUGGGGGAUAACGUCCGGAAACGGGCGCUAAUACCGCAUACGUCCUGAGGGAGAAAGUGGGGGAUCUUCGGACCUCACGCUAUCAGAUGAGCCUAGGUCGGAUUAGCUAGUUGGUGGGGUAAAGGCCUACCAAGCCGACGAUCCGUAACUGGUCGGAGAGGAUGAUCAGUCACACUGGAACUGAGACACGGUCCAGACUCCUACGGGAGGCAGCAGUGGGGAAUAUUGGACAAUGGGCGAAAGCCUGAUCCAGCCAUGGCGCGUGUGUGAAGAAGGUCUUCGGAUUGUAAAGCACUUUAAGUUGGGAGGAAGGGCAGUAAGUUAAUACCUUGCUGUUUUGACGUUACCAACAGAAUAAGCACCGGCUAACUUCGUG